GACAGAGGGUGCAAACGUUGUUCGGAAUUACUGGGCGUAAAGCGUGCGCAGGCGGCUUUGCAAGACAGAUGUGAAAUCCCCGGGCUCAACCUGGGAACUGCAUUUGUGACUGCAAGGCUAGAGUACGGUAGAGGGGGAUGGAAUUCCGCGUGUAGCAGUGAAAUGCGUAGAUAUGCGGAGGAACACCGAUGGCGAAGGCAAUCCCCUGGACCUGUACUGACGCUCAUGCACGAAAGCGUGGGGAGCAAACAGG
Molecule: ribosomal RNA, 253 nt
Filed under: uncultured bacterium
Lineage: Bacteria
Description: partial 16S ribosomal RNA
Rfam family: Bacterial small subunit ribosomal RNA
Source: RNAcentral